GACGAACGCUGGCGGCGUGCUUAACACAUGCAAGUCGAGCGGUAAGGUCCUUUCGGGGGUACACGAGCGGCGAACGGGUGAGUAACACGUGGGUGACCUGCCCUUAGCUCUGGGAUAAGCCUGGGAAACUGGGUCUAAUACCGGAUAUGACUCCAUGACGCAUGUUGUGGGGUGGAAAGCCUUGUGCGGCUAGGGAUGGGCCCGCGGCCUAUCAGCUUGUUGGUGGGGUGAUGGCCACCAAGGCGACGACGGGUAGCCGGCCUGAGAGGGCGACCGGCCACACUGGGGACUGAGACACGGCCCAGACUCCUACGGGAGGCAGCAGUGGGGAAUCUUGCGCAAUGGGCGAAAGCCUGACGCAGCGACGCCGCGUGGGGA
This 378-nucleotide ribosomal RNA is filed under the name uncultured bacterium. RNAcentral's name for it is "bacterial SSU rRNA". It matches the Rfam family "Bacterial small subunit ribosomal RNA", at positions 28 to 407 of the family's 1533-position model. The record is from RNAcentral.